Molecule: long non-coding RNA, 3117 nt
Organism: Oxyura jamaicensis (ruddy duck)
Lineage: Eukaryota; Metazoa; Chordata; Aves; Anseriformes; Anatidae
Exons: 2
Source: RefSeq, a predicted model, not a curated record
AUGGCUAAAAGCUCCAAAAGCCUUUGUUCUCACCCCAUGGGCACGGCCCCUAGCCCCACUGUGCCUCCUGGCAGAACUAAGGAGCCACGCACGUGGAUGGUUUGUUUCACUGGCCUGCCAAGCAGAUGGAUGUUGCUCUGCUAGGUGAGGUUUAACACAAGUGGGUUUUAAGCUGGGUUCAAACCUUCCCCUAAAAAUCAUCCCUAAUAGUUAAAAGAAGCCAGAGCAGAGUGCCACAGGCAGCCAAGGCACAGUGUCUCACCCUGAACUGACCUGGUCAAAGAGAGAUGGAUAAAAGAAAAUGUUAGUGGUGUAACACACGACCGAGGAAGGGGGGGGCUGACACUUCACUCCCAAACAUCUGAAGCAGAUAAAAGCGAGGAUCAGAUGUUGUCUGCCACAGAGCAGGGCUGUAGCCUAGGAGCCCUGUGGGACAACAGACUUUUCAUGUUUCCCUAAUGUAAUCCAGGGCUUGGCCUUUCUUUAAUAUCUUAAUAUGAGUCACAAAGAUAAUCCCCUGAAUUGGCGUGAGGUUGCUAAGUAUCAGAAGGGGAUUUCCUAUGUGUUGUGAGUUUGGAUCUGGAGUCAAAAAGCCCCUUGGCUAAGGCUAAAUAAAAUGGGAUGUUUCUUUGCGUUAUGUUCAAAACAGUAUCACCUUCUAACUGGCCUUCCCUUUCUGCUCUCUCUGUCCUCCCGAGGCGUGGAAGUUUUCUUGACUUCUGUCUCUCCUAAUUUAGGCACUAGACCUGUGAAUUUGGCAGCUGGCUCUGUUAGCGUCCUAGUGCAAGUGGGUGGUUUUGUCAACAUGUUUUGGAUGACAUCUUGCCACAGCACAGCGGGAGUUGGUUGCAGGGAUGGGUGUCCAGCUCCUCUGGCUCGUGCUCCCAGCUAGGGAAACAUUCCAGGUCCUCUGCUCUCCAGGAAAAGCAUCCUUAUCUUUGCCAUCUUCUCCAAAGAGCCAGGCUUUGGGGCUGCAGGAACUGGGUAGGCAAGUUAGGGGAGAAACAACUGUGAAACAUGGACGGCUGAAGCAAACUGCUGGCUUUAAGUCUGGCCAGCAGUGCUGCAUGUGGGGGCUCCCUCCGGUUGUCUGGGUUGGUUUUGCUGUGGAAAGCUCCUCUCCCAGGAACGGCUGUCACCGUUCUUCCUCCAACCCCAGCCUCCAUGUCACAGGGAGUAAAUGAACUCCAGACUGCAGCUUUAAUAACACACACAGCUCCAGCCUUAAUUUCCUCUCUCUCCCUCAGGGAAAUUUCUUCUGGCAAAGGGAGGGAAAUAAAUAAGUGCACAUUCCCCUUGUGUCUGGAGAUAAUUGGGCUUCAGUUGUUACAUCCAGGGCCAAAGGUUGCUCUCUGAUGGAUUCAGCCCAGAUCCUGGAUCUGAGCUUGCCAGCAUAUGUGACGUUUCAACAUCUGACCCAUCUCAGACCCCGGCGAGCUCUGAAUCAGGCUGUUAUAUGCUAAACCCGUGUUCAGAUCCAUUUCUAAUUGUGAUAAUUGAGUCAUACUGAGUCUGUAUAGUGUCUGUUCCAAGACUUCAGCCCUGCCAUGUAGCCUAAAUUUAUCUUUAGGUUGAAAAGCCGCCGCCUUUAGGAUUCUCGCUUGUAGGACAAAUUUUGCGCUGCAGGCCCCUCUCGCCGCUGUCCUGCGUGUGCUGUGGAUGUUUAAGUUUGCGGAGGGUGGGUAUGAAAUGGCGUCAGGCUAUGGUUACUGGUGCACAGGCUCAGUUAAUGUGCUUGCAGAAGGCAUCAGAGCAGCAGGCCCCCGGCCAGGUUUGCCGGUUAUGUCUGCGAACAGCUCGUGGGCUGUGCCGAGCAGGAAGGGAGAGGCUGGUUUUAAACAUGAGAAGUCCUGCAGGGCCCUCGCCAGAUGCUGCACUCUAAUUGUUCCAGGCUGCAGGGCCGGCGUGGCUCCGGCAUCCUUUGCCUCUCGCACCUUGUCCCGACCCAGUCCUCUUGCCUCGGCUGUGGAGGCAGCACGAGGGAGGUGACCAGACCCCUCUGCCAUCCACACGUGAUACCCUAGCCCCAGAUGAUGUGCUGCAGGGAGAGCGUGACCCCUCAGGGACACUGAGCAUUUGGGAGGGGAAUACCCCCAACGGAGCUGGUGCCAGCCAAGCUGUCUGCCAGGGAUGAAGGAUGAGAGCGGUCUAAUUGUGCCAGAGGCAUUUAUGAGAAAUGUACCCAAGGAAAAACCCUAUGCUUUUCAGUUUGUAGAGGGAGGAUGCCAAACUUAGAGCUGUGUCAUCUUGAAAAGCAAAUUGUUCUCAAGGAGGAAAGGAGUGGAAGUUAUUUUCCUGAAGGAGCAUGUUUUCUGUGACCACGGGAGCACGCUUUACCCUGUAGCAUCAGGAAACAGGAUUCUUCCCAGUGUGAGCCUCGUAGCAGCAGGGAGCUUACACCAGGCAUGUAGGGACCAUGAUAUAAUGGGUUGCUUUCUGAGGAACCCAGGUCAGGAGCAGAUGUGAAACAGGGCUGUGCACAGGCCCAGACAGCAGAAGUCAUCCUGGCACCACCUGAGCUUGUGGAUGUAGUUGUAAUACAGAUCUGACCAUGAUCCUAGAAAAUAAAUAAAAACCACAAACAUGCGAGUGUUGUGAUGGCUGGUAUAAAACUUGGUGCUUUGGAUUUUAUUGGGGUUUCACUGUCUAAUCCUGUACAUGUAAAAUCACAGCAGCCUUCUGUCUGCCAGAGGGAUGCAGAUGGCAUUUCUUUCUCACUGCUGCCUGUCCUGGGCCAGUGAGGUUUUGCAUUCCCCAGCCACAAGGGUGCAGCCAGUCAGCAUGCGCUGAGCCUCUGCCAAACAAAACAUGCCGUGAUUCUUGGUUUGGGCUCGCCUGUGAUUUCCUUGGGAGUGGUGGGCCUGGAAGGGGGGCUCUGGUGCUCGACUGCUGCACUGUUCAUCUGCCUUGGAAACGUGUCCUGCCUUCUCACAGAGACAGUGCUGAAGGGUCACUGUCUGCUCGAGGGCUGUUCCUCGGGGGUUUCUUGAAGUUACAUCAUGGAUCUGGAGUGGAGUCUCCUGUAAAUGUUCGCCUUUCUUUAAAAUUACAUCUUUUUGGAUUUAAAAAGAAAACAUGCUUUCUUAGCUGUGUUAGAACAUGAGACUCAGAGGAAAA